RNAcentral lists this ribosomal RNA (207 nucleotides) under uncultured bacterium. RNAcentral's name for it is "partial 16S ribosomal RNA". It matches the Rfam family "Bacterial small subunit ribosomal RNA", at positions 568 to 774 of the family's 1533-position model. The record is from RNAcentral.
CGUGUAGGCGGUCAGGUAAGUGGGACGUGAAAUGCCUCGGCUCACCCGAGGAGCGGCGUCCCAUACUGCUUGGCUUGAGUACGGGAGAGGAUGUGGGAAUUCCUGGUGUAGCGGUGAAAUGCGUAGAUAUCAGGAGGAACACCGGUGGCGAAGGCGCACAUCUGGCCCGAUACUGACGCUGAGGCGCGAAAGCUAGGGGAGCAAACA